AGCGCAGGCGGUUUCUUAAGUCUGAUGUGAAAGCCUUCGGCUUAACCGGAGAAGAGCAUCGGAAACUGGGAGACUUGAGUGCAGAAAAGGACAGUGGAACUCCAUGUGUAGCGGUGAAAUGCGUAGAUAUAUGGAAGAACACCAGUGGCGAAGGCGGCUGUCUGGUCUGCAACUGACGCUGAGGCUCAAAGCAUGGGUAGCGAACA
Molecule: ribosomal RNA, 206 nt
Filed under: uncultured bacterium
Lineage: Bacteria
Description: partial 16S ribosomal RNA
Rfam family: Bacterial small subunit ribosomal RNA
Source: RNAcentral